CUGACUAUAAGAAAAAACAAGUGAUUAGAAGUUUGGAAUUUUCUUCCCCACUUGUUGACCUCUGGGAAGGGAAGGAGGUCCUGGAGAUUAAGUUCUACAAACACUCUUGAACAAGUAGAAUUGAUGAACUUCCAGGGUAGACGGACACAUUGAAGUUCCAUGCUGCUGCCUGCCCCCCAUAACUUGCCCUAUGCACAUCUUCUAUUUGGCUGUUCCUAAGUCAUGUCCUUUAUAGUAAACUGAUAAACAGAAGUGUUUUCAGCAAGUCAUCACAUCUAAGGAGGGGGUUGUAGAAACCCUUGGUUGGUAGCCUGUCAGUCAGAAGUACAGAUGGUACCCAGGGACUUGCAACCUAUGUUUGAAAUGGGGGAAGUCUUAUGGGACUGAGUCCUUUAACUUCCAGCAGCUGACACAAACUCAGGGUAAAUGACGUCAGGAUGGAUUUGAAUUAUAGAAUACCCAGUUGGUGUCUGGACAGUCAGAGAACUUGUUGGUACAGAAAAAAAUCCACACAUUUGCUUUCAGAAGUGUUGUGAAUAUAAAUACCCCACUGUUACAUAAAAACUUACAGCAGGAGGUUAUUUUGGACUAAACUCCUGCAAGAAGGCCCCCAACAGACCAGGCUAAAAAUCAAAAUGGAGUCUCUCAGGCUAUAGUUCCCCUUCACCAAGUUGAAACUAAGCUGUUUAUCUAACCUGUUUGUCUAAACCAUAGUUUAGAAAAACUAUGAUUAAAAAAUGGGAGUUCAUAACCCACUUGAAUCAAAGUGUGAAAUAUGAUAUAUAAAGAACUAUGUAAUGUUUUGAACAACCAACAAUAAAAAAAUUAAAUAAAAAAAAAAAGAAAAACUAUGAUUAGAGAAAUCCAGAUUAGAGAAAUAACAGCCAAGUUUCCCAAACAAACCAGUUUCAAUUGAAAUGUUAAUGAAGUUCCUUCUUCCCUAAUCCUUAUACACACAAGGUAAGGAUUGUGUAAAUAUAGGUAACCUGAUGUUAACAAGUUAUUUUCU
RNAcentral lists this long non-coding RNA (1009 nucleotides) under Marmota monax (woodchuck). The record is from RNAcentral. Lineage: Eukaryota; Metazoa; Chordata; Mammalia; Rodentia; Sciuridae.